RNAcentral lists this ribosomal RNA (468 nucleotides) under uncultured bacterium. RNAcentral's name for it is "partial 16S ribosomal RNA". It matches the Rfam family "Bacterial small subunit ribosomal RNA", at positions 28 to 507 of the family's 1533-position model. The record is from RNAcentral.
GACGAACGCUGGCGGCGUGCUUAACACAUGCAAGUCGAACGGAAAGGCCCUGCUUUUGUGGGGUGCUCGAGUGGCGAACGGGUGAGUAACACGUGAGUAACCUGCCCUUGACUUUGGGAUAACUUCAGGAAACUGGGGCUAAUACCGGAUAGGAGCUCCUGCUGCAUGGUGGGGGUUGGAAAGUUUCGGCGGUUGGGGAUGGACUCGCGGCUUAUCAGCUUGUUGGUGGGGUAGUGGCUUACCAAGGCUUUGACGGGUAGCCGGCCUGAGAGGGUGACUGGCCACAUUGGGACUGAGAUACGGCCCAGACUCCUACGGGAGGCAGCAGUGGGGAAUAUUGCACAAUGGGCGGAAGCCUGAUGCAACAACGCCGCGUGCGGGAUGACGGCCUUCGGGUUGUAAACCGCUUUCGCCUGUGACGAAGCGUGAGUGACGGUAAUGGGUAAAGAAGCACCAGCUAACUACGUG